CUAAGGGUAAAAGAAUAAUCGGCAUCGGAGGUGCUUGCGUCCUAUCAGCUAGUAGGGGCGGUAAAAGCGCACCUAGGCGAAGACGGGUAGCCGGACUGAGAGGUUGGACGGCCACAUUGGAACUGAGACACGGUCCAGACUCCUACGGGAGGCAGCAGUGGGGAAUAUUGGGCAAUGGGGGCAACCCUGACCCAGCAACGCCGCGUGAAGGAAGAAGGCUUUCGGGUUGUAAACUUCUUUGACGAGGGACGAUAAUGACGGUACCUCGAAAACAAGCCACGGCUAACUACGUGCCAGCAGCCGCGGUAAUACGUAGGUGGCAAGCGUUGUCCGGAUUUAUUGGGUUUAAAGGGUGCGCAGGCGGCGUGCUAAGUCAGCGGUGAAAGGCGACGGCUCAACCGGAGCAGUGCCGUUGAUACUGGCGUGCUUGAAUGCGGUCGAGGCCGGCGGAAUGUGGCGUGUAGCGGUGAAAUGCAUAGAUAUUACAUAGAACACCGAUCGCGAAGGCAGCUGGCGAGGACGUCACUGACGCUGAGGCACGAAGGCGUGGGGAUCAAACAGGAUUAGAUACCCUGGUAGUCCACGCAGUAAACGAUGAUAACUUGUUGUCGGCGAUAGACAGUCGGUGACAAAGCGAAAGCGAUAAGUUAUCCACCUGGGGAGUACGAUCGCAAGGUUGAAACUCAAAGGAAUUGACGGGGGCCCGCACAAGCAGUGGAUUAUGUGGUUUAAUUCGAAGCAACGCGAAGAACCUUACCAGGGCUUGACAUCCAACUAACGAAGCAGAGAUGCAUUAGGUGCCCUUCGGGGAAAGUUGAGACAGGUGGUGCAUGGUUGUCGUCAGCUCGUGUCGUGAGAUGUUGGGUUAAGUCCCGCAACGAGCGCAACCCCUAUUGUUAGUUGCUACGCAAGAGCACUCUAGCGAGACUGCCGUUGACAAAACGGAGGAAGGUGGGGACGACGUCAAAUCAUCAUGCCCCUUAUGUCCUGGGCUACACACGUAAUACAAUGGCGCACACAAAGGGAUGCAAAACCGCGAGGUGGAGCAAAUCCCCAAAAGGCGUCUCAGUUCGGACUGCAGUCUGCAACUCGACUGCACGAAGUCGGAAUUGCUAGUAAUCGCGGAUCAGCAUGCCGCGGUGAAUACGUUCCCGGGCCUUGCACUCACCGCCCGUCA
Molecule: ribosomal RNA, 1177 nt
Filed under: uncultured bacterium
Lineage: Bacteria
Description: bacterial SSU rRNA
Rfam family: Bacterial small subunit ribosomal RNA
Source: RNAcentral